Triticum dicoccoides is the source of this 1120-nucleotide long non-coding RNA. RefSeq lists it as uncharacterized. The transcript is spliced from 2 exons. NCBI's taxonomy places the organism in Eukaryota, Viridiplantae, Streptophyta, Magnoliopsida, Poales, Poaceae. The record is from RefSeq and is a predicted model, not a curated record.
CUCCCUCCCAGAUCUAGCGAACCUUCCCACGCCCCACCCCCUCUUCGAUCCAGCCACCCACCCCGCCGGCGCCGGCCAGCCCCCGCCCCGGGAACCAGCCGUCGUGCCUCUCCCGCCCCGGGAACUUGCCGCCGCACCGUCCGCCGCCCUGAUAAUCGACCGCCGUGUCACCCCUGCCUUGUAUUGCGCCGCCGCCGGGGAUCGCGCCGCCGCUGCCGCUGCCUUCGCCCUCCACGCAUCACGCCACCGCCGCCGCCACUCUCCCCGGAUCGCGCCACCACCGUCUGCCGCUAGCUACUACUACCUCUGCAAUCCUCCGCUAGCUGCCGCUGCAGUCCACCGCUAGCUCAGGCGGGGGAGGCAGUACUUCUCCGGCUACCCCCGCGUCACCUGUUGCCGCCCUGAACAACGUCCGGACACCACCACGGAUUGCCCCUGGUGCUGCUCGAACUUCUCCACGCGGGCGACUGGUUGCUCGAACUUCCCCUUGUCAGCCAUGGUGUGCCUCUGUAAACUCUCAUGGCGGCUCCUCCCCUGUAGUACAAGCGAGGUCAACUGCGGCUCGAUGGAGACGCAAAAAUUGUGGUCUUACCUGACCCAUGGUCCCUUGCUACCACGUAGCCUCUUCCCAGUGGGGCCCCAUCGCUGCAGCACUCAGCGUGUUUCGCCGCUGCCAGCUUUGGCCGUUCAACUGCACAGCCCCAAGAAGUUCGGCUGAGCCACUCGGUUCCCACUGCUGUAGCGCCCAGACGAGGCCCAGGUCCUUAAUAUUCCAGGCUCCUACUUUUGCAGGUAUUUGAGUUUCAGCAGGUAUUUGAGUUCAGCGAAAGAUUUGGUGAGAGACAGUGUGAGCGAUCUGCACCACUGCUUAUUAUUUCGGUUCAGAUUGGCGAAUCCUCACAUUGCCGGACAUCGACCAUGCUGCUCCUGUACUGAUGAAAUUUUGCACGAGUUAAUUUUGGAUGGAUCAUGUGUCUAUCAUCGACACUUUGUUUGUGUAUAUGCGAAUGCAUCUUCUUUCUAUCAAAAACAUUUGUGUUGUUUAUCAUGUGGUAUGUACCCAAAAAAUUCUUUUGGCCCUUGUUUGAUAUGUACAAUAGUUCAAUCUUGAAAAAUUACA